GACGAACGCUGGCGGCGUGCUUAACACAUGCAAGUCGAACGGAAAGGCCCGGCUUUUGUGGGGUGCUCGAGUGGCGAACGGGUGAGUAACACGUGAGUAACCUCCCCUUGUCUUUCGGGUAACUUCAGGGAACUGGGGCUAAUACAGGAUAGGAGCUCCUGCUGCAUGGGGGGGGAUGGAAAAAUUCGGCGGUUGGGGAUGGACUGGCGGGUUAUCAGCUUGUUGGGGGGGUAGUGGCGUACCAAGGCUUUGAAGGGUAGCAGGCCUGAGAGGGUGACCGGCGACAUAGGGACUGGGAUACGGCCCAGACUGCUACGGGAGGCAGCAGUGGGGAAUAUUGCACAAUGGGCGGAAGCCUGAUGCAGCAACGCCGCGUGCGGGAUGACGGCCUUCGGGUUGUAAACCGCUUUCGCCUGUGACGAAGCGUGAGUGACGGUAAUGGAUAAAGAAGCACCGGCUAACUACGUG
RNAcentral lists this ribosomal RNA (468 nucleotides) under uncultured bacterium. Its description in RNAcentral is "partial 16S ribosomal RNA". It matches the Rfam family "Bacterial small subunit ribosomal RNA", at positions 28 to 507 of the family's 1533-position model. The record is from RNAcentral.